Molecule: ribosomal RNA, 426 nt
Filed under: uncultured bacterium
Lineage: Bacteria
Description: partial 16S ribosomal RNA
Rfam family: Bacterial small subunit ribosomal RNA
Source: RNAcentral
UGGGGAAUAUUGCACAAUGGGCGCAAGCCUGAUGCAGCCAUGCCGCGUGUAUGAAGAAGGCCUUCGGGUUGUAAAGUACUUUCAGCGGGGAGGAAGGCGAUAAGGUUAAUAACCUUGUCGAUUGACGUUACCCGCAGAAGAAGCACCGGCUAACUCCGUGCCAGCAGCCGCGGUAAUACGGAGGGUGCAAGCGUUAAUCGGAAUUACUGGGCGUAAAGCGCACGCAGGCGGUCUGUCAAGUCGGAUGUGAAAUCCCCGGGCUCAACCUGGGAACUGCAUUCGAAACUGGCAGGCUAGAGUCUUGUAGAGGGGGGUAGAAUUCCAGGUGUAGCGGUGAAAUGCGUAGAGAUCUGGAGGAAUACCGGUGGCGAAGCGGCCCCCUGGACAAAGACUGACGCUCAGGUGCGAAAGCGUGGGGAGCAAACA